RNAcentral lists this ribosomal RNA (225 nucleotides) under uncultured bacterium. RNAcentral describes it as "partial 16S ribosomal RNA". It matches the Rfam family "Bacterial small subunit ribosomal RNA", at positions 15 to 227 of the family's 1533-position model. The record is from RNAcentral.
GAUCAUGGCUCAGGAUGAACGCUAGCUACAGGCUUAACACAUGCAAGUCGAGGGGCAGCAUGGUCUUAGCUUGCUAAGGCUGAUGGCGACCGGCGCACGGGUGAGUAACACGUAUCCAACCUGCCGUCUACUCUUGGCCAGCCUUCUGAAAGGAAGAUUAAUCCAGGAUGGGAUCAUGAGUUCACAUGUCCGCAUGAUUAAAGGUAUUUUCCGAGGUAGACGAGG